Molecule: long non-coding RNA, 1581 nt
Filed under: Eucalyptus grandis
Lineage: Eukaryota; Viridiplantae; Streptophyta; Magnoliopsida; Myrtales; Myrtaceae
Description: long non-coding RNA (EGRA_LNC006346)
Source: RNAcentral
GGGUGGAGGCUGCUCGCCGCUUGGCUAUCCGGUUGGGGGCGACGCAGGACGCCUUGGAGACUCCGGCCGGGGCCUACCAGCUUAUGGAUGACGAGACAGUAGGUUUUCCUCUGCAUUUUUUCUCUUUUCAGUUCUUUUCCUCCCAUUUUUGCUGAAGUUGCUCAAGCUUCAUUAUUAUGCAACAGUAGUUAUUAAUCACGAAAUUAUAAAUCAGACUAUGUUUUCUCUAGAAAACUAUGAAUUUAGUUGUCUAUUAGGAUGUAAAAGAUUAGCAAUACAUUGCUGUGAGGUAGGUAUAUGGAGGGUUGGCUUCCAUAUUCCAAAACUUUCCUUGGGUUCUUCAUAUGCUUUACUUUCACACUUUCACUUUCAUUGGAAGUUAUCUGCAUUCUAAAAGAAUCCAAUAUUUCGUUUCUCAGGUAUGCAGAGCUUAGGAAAAUACCACCUUCCUUCAUCUUAAGAAAUUUAACCAUUUGUCCUAUUUGUAAAAUGAAUUGGAGUACUUGGUAGAUUAUGUGCUCACAUUGGUCAAGUAUGAGUUCGUCGGCUUUCUUCCUUCUUCCUUCUCUAGUUGCUGCAUUAGCCAUAUUUCUGCUAGGACGCUGGAUGACUCUCACGCCACCUUGGGUGUGUUCUCUAUCUUGCAUUUCUUUCAUGGCCACAAGCUUACUUGAUUAUUUAUCUCGGCUUACCUUUUACUUUCUGCAGAAUCCAAUUUUGGAAUUCUACACAUCUUAUAAGGCAUCUCACUCCAUUGCAAGACGUGCAAUCCAAUGCAAAAGAAUACCAUACACAUCAAGCAUCGGCAACAGAAGCAGAAGGUACACUAAGCUCAACAACUAGAACAAAUUAAAAUAAUACUUCUUCUUUAUAAUUCAAAUCUCAAAAUGAAACAAAAAAAAAAAAAGUUCGGAGAAUGGCUUGAGAAUGGCUUGCUUAGCGUCUGGUGAAGCUAAGUUACUUGAGUCUAGCCAUUAAAUCCAUAAUUAUUUUGUUUUGUUUCAAGAAAUGAUUUCAUAGUUCAUUUAUUUUUUAGUAAGUAAAGACAGCGCCAGGACGUUCGCCGAGGCUUGCUUGGCUUGCGUGUCUCGUGAAUGUAAGUUACUAGCCAUUAAAUCCAUAAUUCAUUCUUUUGUAAGUAAAGAAGAGUAAUGCAUAAUUAAUUAUUUUAUUUGUUAUAUUUGAUGAAUUUAUUUUCAUACAAGAGUAAACUAGUUUUGUAAAUUUAACAAGAAAACAUGCCAUGCCAUGCCCGGAUAGAUUUAUCAACCUAAACUUAUGGAUCAUCUUUAUUUUUAUUAGGAUUGAAUCUACUUAUUUCUCUCACCAAGUUGGUUGGUUAGCUUCCUUGGAGCCGGUCGAGUUGGGUUAGUCAUGAUAAAUUGCCAUAUAGUUUAUUUUUUUCUAAAAUUAUUAAUUUUUUUAUUUUUUAUUUUAUUUUUUAUUUUCAUUACUAAACAUGUCUUUUGCCCGUACCCAAUGUUUUGGUAGAGCUCGGAUAAAACUCAAAUUUGUUUUUUUCUAAGUAAACUAAAUUCUCUCCCUAAUAAUUAUUAAUUAUUUUAUGAAUUAUGAAAAUAA